UGAGGAAUAUUGGUCAAUGGACGAGAGUCUGAACCAGCCAAGUAGCGUGCAGGAUGACGGCCCUAUGGGUUGUAAACUGCUUUUGUUUGGGAAUAAUCGACAUUACGUGUAAUGUUUUGCAUGUACCAUUCGAAUAAGGACCGGCUAAUUCCGUGCCAGCAGCCGCGGUAAUACGGAAGGUCCAGGCGUUAUCCGGAUUUAUUGGGUUUAAAGGGAGUGUAGGCGGUUGGUUAAGCGUGUUGUGAAAUGUAGAUGCUCAACAUCUGACUUGCAGCGCGAACUGGCUGACUUGAGUACACACAACGUAGGCGGAAUUCAUGGUGUAGCGGUGAAAUGCUUAGAUAUCAUGAAGAACUCCGAUUGCGAAGGCAGCUUACGGGAGUGUUACUGACGCUUAAGGUCGAAGGUGCGGGUAUCGAACAG
This 423-nucleotide ribosomal RNA is filed under the name Verrucomicrobiota bacterium. Its description in RNAcentral is "Verrucomicrobia bacterium partial 16S ribosomal RNA". It matches the Rfam family "Bacterial small subunit ribosomal RNA", at positions 355 to 775 of the family's 1533-position model. Lineage: Bacteria; Pseudomonadati; Verrucomicrobiota. The record is from RNAcentral.